This 73-nucleotide transfer RNA is filed under the name Mus musculus (house mouse). It matches the Rfam family "tRNA". From Rfam's summary of the family: Transfer RNA (tRNA) molecules are approximately 80 nucleotides in length. Their secondary structure includes four short double-helical elements and three loops (D, anti-codon, and T loops). The record is from Rfam by way of RNAcentral. Lineage: Eukaryota; Metazoa; Chordata; Mammalia; Rodentia; Muridae.
GGAGAGAUGGCUCAGUGGGUAAGAGCACUGACUGCUUUUCCAGAGGUCCUGAGUUCAUAUCUGAGUCUCACAA